AGUGAACGCUGGCGGUAGGCCUAACACAUGCAAGUCGAACGGCAGCACAGUAAGAGCUUGCUCUUACGGGUGGCGAGUGGCGGACGGGUGAGGAAUACAUCGGAAUCUACUUUUUCGUGGGGGAUAACGUAGGGAAACUUACGCUAAUACAGCAUACGACCUACGGGUGAAAGCAGGGGAUCUUGGGACCUUGCGCGAUUGAAUGAGCCGAUGUCGGAUUAGCUAGUUGGCGGGGUAAAGGCCCACCAAGGCGACGAUCCGUAGCUGGUCUGAGAGGAUGAUCAGCCACACUGGAACUGAGACACGGUCCAGACUCCUACGGGAGGCAGCAGUGGGGAAUAUUGGACAAUGGGCGCAAGCCUGAUCCAGCCAUACCGCGUGUGUGAAGAAGGCCUUCGGGUUGUAAAGCCCUUUUGUUGGGAAAGAAAAGCAGCAGGUUAAUACCCCGCUGUUCUGACGGUACCCAAAGAAUAAGCACCGGCUAACUUCGUG
This 492-nucleotide ribosomal RNA is filed under the name uncultured bacterium. RNAcentral's name for it is "partial 16S ribosomal RNA". It matches the Rfam family "Bacterial small subunit ribosomal RNA", at positions 29 to 507 of the family's 1533-position model. The record is from RNAcentral.